Molecule: ribosomal RNA, 465 nt
Filed under: uncultured bacterium
Lineage: Bacteria
Description: partial 16S ribosomal RNA
Rfam family: Bacterial small subunit ribosomal RNA
Source: RNAcentral
GACGAACGCUGGCGGCGUGCUUAACACAUGCAAGUCGAACGGAAAGGCCCUGCUUGCAGGGUACUCGAGUGGCGAACGGGUGAGUGACACGUGGGUGAUCUGCCCUGCACUUCGGGAUAAGCCUGUGAAACUGGGUCUAAUACCGGAUAGAAGCCAUUUUUAGUGUGAUGGUUGGAAAGUUUUUUCGGUUGAGGCUGAGCUGGCGGCCUAUCAGCUUGCUGGUGGGGUAAUGGCCUACCAAGGCGGCGACGGGUAGCCGGCCUGCGUGGGUGGACCGCCAUCUUGGGACUGAGAGACGGCCCAGACACCGACGGGAGGGAGCAGGGGGGAAGAUUGACGAAGGGGCGCAAGCCUGAUGCAGCGACGCCGCGGGGGGGAUGACGGCCUUCGGGUUGUAAACUCUUUUCGCUAGGGACGGAGCUUUUUGUGACGGUACCUAGAUAAGAAGCACCGGCUAACUACGUG